GUUCAGGACAUCAGGCUAUGACCAUGAUUACGCCAGGCUAUUUAGGUGACACCUAUAGAAUACUCCAGGCUAUGCAUCACGCGUUGGGAGCUCUCCCAUAAGGGUCGACCUGCAGGCGCCGAGGAAUUCACUAGUUGAUUCCGGCCGGGCUGCAGUUGUGGCUCCUAUGCAUAAAGCCAAACGGAAGAAGCGCCACGCCGGCGAAAGGCAUGAAGGCGUUCGGGUUGUAAACCCGCUGUCAGUUGGGAGGAAAUCUAUGGGGGUUCUCCCCCAUAGUUGACCUAUCUUCAGAGGAAGGACGGGCUAAGUUCGUGCCAGCAGCCGCGGUAAGACGAACCGUCCAAACGUUAUUCGGAAUCACUGGGCUUAAAGGGUGCGUAGGCGAAAUGGCAAGUUGGGUGUGAAAUCCCUCGGCUCAACCGAGGAACUGCGCUCAAAACUGCCAAGCUAGAGGAAGAUAGAGGUGAGCGGAACUAAUGGUGGAGCGGUGAAAUGCGUUGAUAUCAUUAGGAACACCUGUGGCGAAAGCGGCUCACUGGGUCUUUUCUGACGCUGAGGCACGAAAGCUAGGGUAGCGAACGGGAUUAGAUACCCCGGUAGUCCUAGCUGUAAACGAUGAGCACUAGGUUGGAGGCUCCUCCAUAGGUUUCCGACCGGAGCGAAAGUGUGAAGUGCUCCGCCUGGGGAGUAUGGUCGCAAGGCUGAAACUCAAAGGAA
This 717-nucleotide ribosomal RNA is filed under the name uncultured Planctomycetota bacterium. RNAcentral's name for it is "bacterial SSU rRNA". It matches the Rfam family "Bacterial small subunit ribosomal RNA", at positions 1 to 909 of the family's 1533-position model. The record is from RNAcentral. Lineage: Bacteria; Pseudomonadati; Planctomycetota.